AUACAGCUUCAUAUCUCCUUUUUACUCAAGCUGGGGCCUGUGUUUGGUGUUGAACAAAAUAGAAUGCUGCAGUUAUCUCUCUCCUGAUUUUGUUACUACAGAAAGCUUAAUGUAAAGGUGGCUGAUACUGCUGUUUCCUUAGACACUGACACCAAAUACAAUAAAGAAGUCUCUCAAGAGGAAAACAUGGUGUGUUUACAGGAGCAACUAACAGUUGGUUUGUAGGCAUCCUAAAUGGUGGAUGGCAAGCUUGGGUUUCCCAAAGGUUUCUAGUCUUUAUAUGUCUUCUAGUAGGUGUCCAGGUUAGUAUGGCUUGUGUUACCAGAGCAACAAUGAAAAUGGCUACAUCUUUAAAUCAGGCCACUUUACAGUGAACUAUGAUCCUUAAUUGCUACCACAUUUCAAACAAGAACUAUGA
RNAcentral lists this long non-coding RNA (418 nucleotides) under Homo sapiens (human). RNAcentral describes it as "HSALNT0034035". Lineage: Eukaryota; Metazoa; Chordata; Mammalia; Primates; Hominidae. The record is from RNAcentral.